CGCASCCAGGUGRARAAGAAUARCAGACAUGAGAGGGUGCUCGGCCACAUUGGGWGAGAGACACGGCCCAAAMUCCUACGGRAGGCAGCAGUAGGGAAUCUUSGGCAAUGGAYGAAAGUYUGRCCUAGCAACACCGCGUGAGUGAAGAAGGUUUUCGGWUCGUAAAACUCUGUUGUUAGAGAAGAACAAGRAUGAGAGUAACUGUUCAUCCCUUGACGGUAUCUAACCAGAAAGCCACGGCUAACUACGUGCCAGCAGCCGCGGUAAUACGUAGGUGGCAAGCGUUGUCCGGAUUUAUUGGGCGUAAAGCGAGCGCAGGCGGUUUCUUAAGUCUGAUGUGAAAGCCCCCGGCUCAACCGGGGAGGGUCAUUGGAAACUGGGAGACUUGAGUGCAGAAGAGGAGAGUGGAAUUCCAUGUGUAGCGGUGAAAUGCGUAGAUAUAUGGAGGAACACCAGUGGCGAAGGCGGCUYCKGUCUGUAACKACGCKAGGYGAAGCUGARGCASCAA
This 508-nucleotide ribosomal RNA is filed under the name bacterium. RNAcentral describes it as "partial 16S ribosomal RNA". The record is from RNAcentral.